CAAACGACUCUCGGCAACGGAUAUCUCGGCUCACGCAUCGAUGAAGAACGUAGCAAAAUGCGAUACUUGGUGUGAAUUGCAGAAUCCCGUGAACCAUCGAGUUUUUGAACGCAAGUUGCGCCCAAAGCCUUUCGGCCAAGGGCACGUCUGCCUGGGCGUCACAC
This 164-nucleotide ribosomal RNA is filed under the name Roldana suffulta. Its description in RNAcentral is "5.8S ribosomal RNA". It matches the Rfam family "5.8S ribosomal RNA". Rfam says of the family: 5.8S ribosomal RNA (5.8S rRNA) is a component of the large subunit of the eukaryotic ribosome. It is transcribed by RNA polymerase I as part of the 45S precursor that also contains 18S and 28S rRNA. Lineage: Eukaryota; Viridiplantae; Streptophyta; Magnoliopsida; Asterales; Asteraceae. The record is from RNAcentral.